This is a long non-coding RNA of Mustela lutreola (European mink), 1868 nucleotides long. RefSeq lists it as uncharacterized. The transcript is spliced from 5 exons. The record is from RefSeq and is a predicted model, not a curated record. Lineage: Eukaryota; Metazoa; Chordata; Mammalia; Carnivora; Mustelidae.
UGUUUGUCCCUCUUUUGCUCAGCUUCUUUAUUCUCUGUCAUUUGGUCUUCUAUAUCGCUAAUUCUUUCUUCUGCCUCAUUUACUCUAGCAGUGAUAGCCUCCAUUUUUUUAUUGCACCCCAUUAAUAGCUUUUUUGUUAUCAACUUGGUUAGAUUUUAGUUCUUUUAUUUCUCCAGAAAGGGCUUUUAUAUCCCCGAGAGGGUUUCUCUAAUAUCUUCCAUGCCUUUUUCGAGCCCGGCUAGAACCUUGAGAAUUGUCAUUCUGAACUCUAGAUCUGACAUAUUACCAAUGUCUGUAUUGAUUAGGUCCCUAGGCUUUGGUACUGCCUCUUGUUCUUUUUUUUUGUGGUGAAUUUUUCCGUCUUGUCAUUUUGUCCAGAUAAGAGUAUAUGAAGGAGCAAGGAAAAUACUAAAAGGGUGGCAACAACCCCAGGAAAAUAUGCUUUAACCAAAUCAGAAGAGAUUCCAAAUCGUGAGGGGGGAGAAAGGGGAUAAAAAGAGGUUCAGGAAGAAAGAAAAAAAAAGGAAAAAAGAAAAAAAAAGAAAAGAAUUUUAAAAAGAAAAUGAAUAAAGAAAAGUAUAAAAAAGAAAAAAAUAUAUAUGUUAGAUAAACUAGUUAAAAAUGUUAAAAAAGAAAGGGUAAAAGUUAAAAAAACAUUUUAGCAGAAGAAGAUAAAAAAAAAUGAAAAAGAAAAAAAAUUAAAUUAACUGCAAGACUAAAAAAUCACAGGGAGAAAGCCAUGAGUUCUGUGCUUUGCUUUCUCUUCUUCUGGAAUUCUGCUGCUCGCCUUGGUAUUGAAACUGCACUCCUUGGUAGGUGAAGUUGGUCUUGGCUGGAUUUCUUGUUGAUCUUCUGGGGGAGGGGCCUGUUGUAGUGAUUCUCAAGUGUCUUUUCCCCAGGUGGAAUUGCACCACCCUUACCAGGGGCCAGGCUGAGUAAUCCUCUCAGGUUUGCUUUCAGGAGUUUUUGUUCCCUAAGUGCUUUCCAUAGAGUUCCGGAGGACGGGAAUGAAAAUGGCAGCCUCUUGGUCUCUGGCCCAGAGGAGCCGAGAGCCCGGGGCCCCACUCCUCAGUGUGCCCUCAGAGAACAGCGCCCAGUAACUCCUGUCUGCCUGACCUCCGGCCGUGCCCCGGAGUCACCGAGCCUGCCACCAGUUCAAGAACAGCAUGGUUCUUCAUGGUACUGCAGUGUUGAACAGGAAGGUCUUAAACCUGUAUAUGUGGUCUACCUUCUUAGAUCAUAGGACGACGCUACCAGGAGCUGAAUUAGCUGGAGAAUCUUAUGUUAUAGUAUCUGGAAAAUCAAAAGGAUUAUUUAUUUGAGAGAGAGAGUGGGGGAGAAGCAGAGGGAAAGGAAGAGAGAGAACCUCAAGCAGACUCCAUGCUGAGUUGGGAGCUUGACCCGGGGCUUGAUCCUACCACCCUGAGAUCAUGACCUGAGCUGAAACCAAGAGUCGGAGGCUUAACUGACUGAGACAUCCAGGAGCCCCAGACAGUUACUUUUAAGAGGCUUUCAUGUUAUCUGAGGACCACUUGACUGACCACCAGAUGUCUGGAAACCUCACUUCAGGAAGCUCUCCUUCAAGUAUUUGAGGAAUGGAAGUUGAGGCAACACCUGGGUUAAAAUUAUAUAGUUGUUGAAUAGUUAAGAGAUGCUGCUUAUCAUGCAUUUAUUUCUAUUGGAGGGAGGCCUCAAGGCCAUUUCUCAGUACAAAGCCUAAAACUGACACUUUCUUCUCCACAUUUGAGAACUUAUUACCAUGUGUUCAAUAGCUUCUGAGGAGAUGAUGGUGCUUUAGAAAUCAUUGGUGGGGGGAGAGCAGAACCACAUAGAACUUUCUUCCCCAAUAAAAUCAUAUUUUAACACUG